UGCCAAUUAAUGGGGCCUGCGCUACUUCGCCUUCCCUGCCCGUCCUCCCCCGUCUGCCAUUCCGUUGCUUCUUCAGUUUUUCCUCUCCCCAUUCAUCUUCCAUUAAUUCUGUAACUGAAGCUCCCAUGAAUUAAUUAAGGACCGCCCCUCUUCCUGGUGGUUUACUAAUCUCCCCACUUCCCUCCUCUUCACUCGCUGCCUUUAAUCUUCAGCUAGAAGGAAGUGAACAGUCCGCUUCCGAAGUCACACCGAUAGAGAUCGAGAGGAUCUCUCCUGCCUCUACUCCGGCGGCGCCCGGGUCACCUUCCAGCGGCCCACCUAUCGCGUCCGCACCUGGGACACGCUGGACACCGUGGCCCGCUACGUCUUCACGGGGCUCAUCACGUAUCGGGACACCGCCACCGCCAAAAACAUCUCCGACCCCAACUAGGUCGCCGUCGGGCAGGAGCUCUGGAUCCCCUUGGCCUGCAGCUGCGACCCUGUCGACGGCGUGCCCGUAGUGCAUUACGCCUACGUCCGGCCGGGAGCUCUGUGGCUGGCAUCGUGCAGGAGUAUGGCACCACGGAGGCGGCGAUUCUGGCCUUGAGCCGCUUGGCCAACGACAAGAGCCUUCUCGCCUAACAGGCACUUGAGAUUAUGCCCACAUGAAGUCUCGAUCACUAGAUUUUGCAGAAGUGCAGAAGAAUGAGGAUGAUUGAUACUGUUCAGGUGCAAAUAAAGGACUUGGAGACUAUUAUCUUCUCUAUAUAUGUAUGCAGGUGAUUCUAUCGCAAGAUUUGUGACUUUGUUUUUCUCUCUCUCAACAUCUUUCCAGUCUUCUACUAUUUCUCCAAGGAUUUCUUUCAUUAAUUGGACUUCUCUGUGUACCAUGCGUAUGUGGCCAUUUUACACCUUGCGGGUGAUUUGUUUGCAGUGGCAGUUUAUAAUGAGCGGCACAACUUUAUUGUAUAGGUUUUCAAUUCUAGAUCCCUUUCUAAUUGUCCCCGAUCACAUGCUUUAUUCUCUGACUAUCUGUUUUUUUAUUUCAGUUGUUAAAUCAACAUGAAUUUGACACACUGCACGUUGUUCUUACCAGGUAUUACCCAACCGACCACAUCUUAAUUGGUUAGUUUAUGCCUACCUGGUCACAAACUCACAAUGGAACUGAUUUAUCUCUUUAUUGAGAUCUCAAGAGUAGCAUCUAACAAUAAAUAGUUUUUUUUUUAAGAGUGAGUCCCUCUGGUCUCCACAUCCUUUAUAUUAUUAAGUCUCAAACAUCGUGCAAAUUUCAGAGAUUAUAACUCAAAAUGAUAACAAGUUAGGAAAAAUCACGCUCCUCCUAGCCAUAUUUAGGAGUUGUUUACAUAUUUAGGAGUUGUUUAUAUAUGCAUUGAUGUUAUGCUAUAAACGGACAUGUGUAAUUUCAGUUCCAACAUAAGCAUUUUUAAGUUUCAAGUUUUUUUUAAUGAGGUUGAAUUGUGCCAAAAUAAGUUUGAAUAGUAUACAUUUGGAUAUGACUGUACUAUGCAAGCCACAUCUUAAUAAUAGUGCGAUCUAACCUCAUAGAUGACCAUUUCUGUGAAUUAUUCAGCGCUCGGUUCCCCGUCACCGAAUCUAUAAGGUACAUGAAUACAUGCCUUAUUUCAAGAGAAUCUUGACGUUUGUUCUACUCCCAGAAUUGUUGCCGCAUAUUCCCGCAGCAACACGCGGGGUAUCAACUAGUUAAUUUGAGAAGCAGAGUCGUCUUAAAAAAGCGACAUGAGGGUUAGAUGACAAGACAAUUUUACUUUGUAUGCAUUGGUUUGAUGUUUUAUGAAAUAUUACAGUAAUAUGUAUAUGCAUGCUCUAGAAACCUAAAAGUUAAAGACAUUUUCCCGCGCAUGCAAAAAAGUAAAAUUCGGCCACAAUAGGUCUGUUAGUUGUUUGUAAGAACCGACAUGUGUCGUACCUGUUUGCAUAGAUACUGGAGUAAUAAACCCGAAUAAAGUUCAAAUCACAAGCAUGUUGCAUGGGUCAUUUUAAAUGCAAAAUUAAUUAACCCAAUUAGUCUAAGAAAGGUUUGACCAAUCACACUACACCUAGAAGUACAUAAGCAUGUUUUGAACAUGAAACGAUAUUUUAUUUCUAUAAGAUUUUAGUACACGAAGAACGUGAGCUAGUUGGUCGACGGUUCACAUUUGUAUUAGACUCAUUGAUUGCUCAAGGUGAUAUAAAUAUGUGUCUAAAAUUGAAUUUAGAUCACCUAUAAGCCGUUGGUCUUUACCGGAGCCGCUUGAUCAUACCUGAUAUAUAUCAGGUCCGUAUACAAAACUAGAGUUCACGUGGUGAUAUGUUCAGUUUGUUGUUUGCACUGGUAGCUCGUGGGCAAGUUAUUUCUAGGUAGAAUUUACGUGGUAUUGAAUUAUAAUAUGAGAUCAAACUUUUGUGUGAUUAUUCUAUCAGUACUCGAACUAAAAUUCAGAUCUAGAGCUAGCUAGAGGUAUUUUUACUCUAUAUAUAGAUUAUCAAAUGUCAUUCAUUUAAACCUACAAUCGAGCCUUGAAAUUUCUCAAAGGCCCCUAGUUGCCUCGUGAGAAGUAUGUCUAGAACUUCCGUGAAAUCCGGCCCACUGAAACGUCACUUUCCCGGAUGGCACGCCCGCCGCUGCGCCAUCACACCGUGCGCCGUUGGCACUGUGCGGUGGCGUUCUCCAUUCUGGAGCGCCGAACACGUACCAUGGAUUUCAAUUUAAUAAAUCGGCGUCUAGAGCUCGGACGCUAUCAUGGUGUUUGCUCAGCUGUCAGUGCAGGUCGUGGCUGUUGGACUCUAGGUACGUUCGGAGAUGGAGAUCAAUACACGCCGCGUGCAAAAUUACCAGUGCAACUGCUUUGGGUGAAACGAGAAUCCUACGAUCUUAUCCACGCAGUCUGUCCUUUUUUACCUCACCGUCGAUCAGGUCGGCGAUGCCACCUACCCUGUUCGGGGCGGGAAAUGUGCACACUGGAAUAAACUUUGCAAGGAGAAAAGAAAAGGAAAGAAGAGAAAAGAAAAGGAGAGGAAUAUGGACAAACACUGAGUUUAUCUUGAAGUGAGACGCUGUCCGAUGGGGACACAUUAGGCAUGAGUGGGGCCGUGCUACCUUGGCCUCUGGGCUCUGGGGAUGGGAGGAGGGGAGGGUGAAAAGCAAUACCGGACGUCCCCGGACCCAUUCGGAUCGGAACGGUGCUUUAUAUCUCGUGGGCGAAUCAGGCAUCUUCAGCUGCACGCAUCCCGAUCAGAUAGACAGAGAUCAGUGAUCAAGCAGUGAGGCAUCGUUUUCGUACCAUAAAACUUUUUUUUCUUUUUGCGAGGCGGACCAUUAGACUUUUGUUUACAAGUAUGGGGAGACAAAAGCAAAUCAACCUUUCACUUGAUUUUCUCUCCUUUUCUUUUCUAGGCGCUGUCCACGGGAGUCGACAUGCGGCGAGAGGCCACGAGCACACGCAGAAGGAGAUGCCACGUACCGAGCUGACAUACAGCCCCAGACGACGCACUCCGUGUGACUGUCCUUGAUGUUUCAUACCUACUCCACUACUACUACUUGGGACUGCAUGUGCGGGCACAGACAGAGUUGCGCACAGACACGGGCGACAUGAAACGGAAAGAUCAAACAACAAGAAUACCAGCAGUUCUUUCGUGUAAUGUGGGAGGUUUGCUCUUCUCUAAACCAAAAUGUUGUCGUUGGCGGAAGCGGAACAGGACAGAGCUAAACAACCGUCCUCAUUUCUUGCGGUCCAGUGUAUUAUAUACUAAAAGCAAUACGAAGGGUACCGAGAGAAGUCUUCACGUUGA
This is a long non-coding RNA of Brachypodium distachyon (stiff brome), 3789 nucleotides long. RefSeq lists it as uncharacterized. NCBI's taxonomy places the organism in Eukaryota, Viridiplantae, Streptophyta, Magnoliopsida, Poales, Poaceae. The transcript has 2 exons. The record is from RefSeq and is a predicted model, not a curated record.